Molecule: ribosomal RNA, 433 nt
Filed under: uncultured bacterium
Lineage: Bacteria
Description: partial 16S ribosomal RNA
Rfam family: Bacterial small subunit ribosomal RNA
Source: RNAcentral
AACGAACGCUGGCGGCAUGCCUAACACAUGCAAGUCGAACGAGACCUUCGGGUCUAGUGGCGCACGUGUGCGUAACGCGUGGGAACCUGCCCUUAGGUUCGGAAUAACUCCCCGAAAGGGGUGCUAAUACCGGAUAAUGUCUUCGGACCAAAGAUUUAUGGCCUUUGGAUGGGCCCGCGUUGGAUUAGCUAGUUGGUAGUGUAAAAGCCUACCAAGGCGGGGAUCCAUAGCUGGUCUGAGAGGAUGAUCAGCCACACUGGGAAUGAGACACGGACCAGACUCCGACGGAAGGGAGGAGUGGGUAAUAUUGGACAAUGGGGGAAGGCCUGACCAAGCAAUGCCGCGUAAGUGAUGAAGGCCUUAGGGUUGUAAAGCUCUUUUACACGGGAUGAUAAUGACAGUACCGGGAGAAUAAGCACCGGCUAACUCCGUG